Molecule: long non-coding RNA, 1537 nt
Filed under: Cricetulus griseus (Chinese hamster)
Lineage: Eukaryota; Metazoa; Chordata; Mammalia; Rodentia; Cricetidae
Description: lncRNA (ENSCGRG00015037623.1)
Source: RNAcentral
CCUUUCCUUUCUCUCUCUUUUCUUUCCUCCCUUCCUUUCUUUCUUGUGAAUGGGGGGAAAAAAGUAAAACCAAGGGGUAGGAAGUCAUGGAGACAUGUGAUAGGGCACUAAAUUAUAGUUAGAUAAGAGAAGCUAGUGCCGGUGUUAACUGCAGUAGGGCUAUUGUAGAUAAUAACGUGCUUAUGUUUCAAAAAACAAGAAGACGCAAUGUCUGAGACCCUGGGCUUUGUCCUAUCUAUGAUAAUUUCUCAGUCUUAUUUUUUCAUGAUCCUGGCAUUUCUUUUGUUUGUUUUUUUGAGAAAAGGCCUCACUCUGCAGAUCAGGUUAACUUUGAACUCAUGGCUAUCUGUCUGGUUUAGCUUCCCAAGGUUGGGAUUACAAGUUACUAACCCCCAGUCCCAGCAACCUUGGCCCUAUGAAGAGCACUGUUUAGGUAUUUUUGUAGAAUGUUCCAUGAGGCCUUAUCUCAUGUUUCUCUAAAUCAGACUGUGGUUAUUGGUUUGAAGAAAGAAGGUCACAGGAUGACGUACCCCUCUCCUUGAGUCAUGUUGUUGAUACAUGAUAGCAGUGUCCCUUGUGGCCAGGAUGUUAACCUUAGUCACGUGGUCCCAAGGUCAUGUCUGCUGCCAGGUUUCUUUACUGUAAAGUUACUCUUCUUUUCCUUCCUUGAGAAUUGAGCCUCUGAGUCCAGUCUUCAUUCAAGGGUAAGAGAAUUGAGUUCUGCUUCCCAGGAGAGGGGCAUCAAAGUGGGGACAGCUAUUAAAUCCACUGCAGCAAUUAGGGGCUCCAAGAAGACACUUUGAGGCUGUAUUCUGUGUCUCUGUAACCAUUUCAUUCUCUUUUUGAGUAUUGGUCAGUGGAUCUUGCCUACAGCAAAUCUUCAAGAAAAAGAGAACACUUUUCAACUUGAAACACCACAUUACCCAUUGUUUGAGGAAGCAUGCAAUGUCAAUAAGCUAUUAUGAAACCAGCCUUUGUAUUGUAUUAACCACAAUCAAAUCUACACGCUCUAGAUGAACUUAAAAUGUAUUCAGAACUGGGACCCACCGCUGUGACCAUGUUCAGUCUGAAUGAGUGAAAUCUUGCCUCUUUGCUAAAUAGUUCUCACUCCUGCCCUGCUCAGAGAAGCCCAUGCCACCCUCAGGCUUUGCAACCCUCUUCUUAUCUCCACACAACAGAAACAAAACAGUUAAAAAAAAAAAGAAGAAAGAAAAAGAAAAUGCUUCAGACCUUUCAUUUGUGACUACAUUACCAUCUAACUAUAAGGCCCCAUGUUGCUCAGGUUUGUCUUCAGUUCGUUUGCAGCUAAGGAUGACCUUCAACUCCUGGAGAUCCUCCAAACAUCACAGGCCUUCACCACCACACUUGGUUACCUAUGAUCAUGGGCUGGAGAGAUGGCUCAACACUUAAGAACAUUGCUAGCACCCAUAAUGGGAGGCUCACAACCACCUGUUACCCCAGUUCCAGGAGAACCUGACACCUUCUUGGUACCUGCUCACAUGUGCACAUCCAUGAAGACAUACAGAUACACAGACAU